AGUAACGCGCGAGUGAGCGGCACAGCUCAAAUUUGAAAGCUGGCCUUCGGGUCCGCAUUGUAAUUUGUAGAGGAUGCUUUGGGGCAGCCGCCUGUCUAAGUUCCUUGGAACAGGACGUCAUAGAGGGUGAGAAUCCCGUAUGUGACAGGACAUGGCACCCUAUGUAAAGCUCCUUCGACGAGUCGAGUUGUUUGGGAAUGCAGCUCUAAAUGGGAGGUAAAUUUCUUCUAAAGCUAAAUACCGGCGAGAGACCGAUAGCGCACAAGUAGAGUGAUCGAAAGAUGAAAAGCACUUUGGAAAGAGAGUUAAAAAGCACGUGAAAUUGUUGAAAGGGAAGCGCUUGCAAUCAGACUUGUUUUGACUGUUCGGCCGGUCUUCUGACCGGUUUACUCAGUCUGGACAGGCCAGCAUCAGUUUUGGCGGCCGGAUAAAGGCUCAGGGAAUGUGGCUCUCACUUCGGUGGGAGUGUUAUAGCCCUGGGUGUAAUACGGCCAGCCGGGACUGAGGUCCGCGCUUCGGCUAGGAUGCUGGCGUAAUGGUUGUAAGCGACC
Molecule: ribosomal RNA, 551 nt
Filed under: Aureobasidium thailandense
Lineage: Eukaryota; Fungi; Ascomycota; Dothideomycetes; Dothideales; Saccotheciaceae
Description: partial large subunit ribosomal RNA
Rfam family: Eukaryotic large subunit ribosomal RNA
Source: RNAcentral